GCGGGCGUAACUCAGUUGGUAGAGUAUCACGUUGCCAUCGUGAAUGUCGCGAGUUCGAAUCUCGUCGCCCGCU
This 73-nucleotide transfer RNA is filed under the name Deltaproteobacteria bacterium RIFOXYA12_FULL_61_11. RNAcentral's name for it is "tRNA-Gly". It matches the Rfam family "tRNA". Rfam says of the family: Transfer RNA (tRNA) molecules are approximately 80 nucleotides in length. Their secondary structure includes four short double-helical elements and three loops (D, anti-codon, and T loops). Further hydrogen bonds mediate the characteristic L-shaped molecular structure. tRNAs have two regions of fundamental functional importance: the anti-codon, which is responsible for specific mRNA codon recognition, and the 3' end, to which the tRNAs corresponding amino acid is attached (by aminoacyl-tRNA synthetases). tRNAs cope with the degeneracy of the genetic code in two manners: having more than one tRNA (with a specific anti-codon) for a particular amino acid; and 'wobble' base-pairing, i.e. permitting non-standard base-pairing at the 3rd anti-codon position. The record is from RNAcentral. Lineage: Bacteria; Deltaproteobacteria.